GGAAGGUUGUCCGAGCUGGCCGAAGGAGCACGCCUGGAAAGUGUGUAGGCGUCACAAGCGUUUCAAGGGUUCGAAUCCCUUACCUUCCG
This 89-nucleotide transfer RNA is filed under the name Staphylococcus aureus. RNAcentral describes it as "tRNA-Ser". It matches the Rfam family "tRNA". From Rfam's summary of the family: Transfer RNA (tRNA) molecules are approximately 80 nucleotides in length. Their secondary structure includes four short double-helical elements and three loops (D, anti-codon, and T loops). The record is from RNAcentral. Lineage: Bacteria; Bacillati; Bacillota; Bacilli; Caryophanales; Staphylococcaceae.